GAGGGAUGAGCUCAAAUUUGUAAUCUGGCAGUCUUUGAUUGUCCGAGUUGUAAUCUAGAGAAGUGCUACMCAGCGCUGGACCGUGUACAAGUCUCCUGGAAUGGAGCGUCAUAGAGGGUGAGAAUCCCGUCUCUGACACGGACUGCCAGUGUGUUGUGGUGUGCUCUCAAAGAGUCGAGUUGUUUGGGAUUGCAGCUCUAAAUGGGUGGUAAACUCCAUCUAAAGCUAAAUAUUGGCGAGAGACCGAUAGCGAACAAGUACCGUGAGGGAAAGAUGAAAAGAACUUUGGAAAGAGAGUUAAACAGUAUGUGAAAUUGUUGAAAGGGAAACAGUUGAAGUCAGUCUUGUCUGUCGGGGAUCAGCUCUGCUUUUUU
Molecule: ribosomal RNA, 374 nt
Filed under: Amanita sp. G3186
Lineage: Eukaryota; Fungi; Basidiomycota; Agaricomycetes; Agaricales; Amanitaceae
Description: eukaryotic LSU rRNA
Rfam family: Eukaryotic large subunit ribosomal RNA
Source: RNAcentral